This is a long non-coding RNA of Rosa rugosa (rugosa rose), 427 nucleotides long. RefSeq lists it as uncharacterized. Lineage: Eukaryota; Viridiplantae; Streptophyta; Magnoliopsida; Rosales; Rosaceae. The record is from RefSeq and is a predicted model, not a curated record. The transcript has 3 exons.
GGUUUAAAGUCUCUAAUGACACUAUGGACUGACACGCCUCCAAGUUGGGGGACUCUGGACCCUUGUGAAGAUGGUUGGGAUGGCAUUGGGUGUCACAACAUGCGUGUGGUCUCUUUGUAUGAUUUUAGCACUUAUCAUAAUUCAAGGUGGGCAGCGUCUUGUAUAUUUCAGAACAUUAUCAAGUAUGAAUUUGACUGGCACACUCUCUGGGACAGUUAUCUGAACUACAAAUUUUGGAUCUAUCUUACAACAAGGACCUGACAGGACCACUCCCAGCAGAAAUUGGCAGUUUGAAGAAGCUAUCUAACAUAAUUCUGGUUGGUUGCAGCUUCUCUGGUCUCAUACCUCCUACUAUAGGGUCCCUACAGGAGCUUAUAUUUCUGUAAGAAUUUUGUAUUCCUUCUAGUAACGCUAAAAACAAGUACGC